Molecule: ribosomal RNA, 571 nt
Filed under: uncultured bacterium
Lineage: Bacteria
Description: bacterial SSU rRNA
Rfam family: Bacterial small subunit ribosomal RNA
Source: RNAcentral
UAGAUAGUAGGCGGGGUAACGGCCCACCUAGUCUUCGAUGGAUAGGGGUUCUGAGAGGAAGGUCCCCCACAUUGGAACUGAGACACGGUCCAAACUCCUACGGGAGGCAGCAGUGAGGAAUAUUGGUCAAUGGGCGAGAGCCUGAACCAGCCAAGUAGCGUGAAGGAUGACUGCCCUAUGGGUUGUAAACUUCUUUUAUAAAGGAAUAAAGUCGGGUAUGGAUACCCGUUUACAUGUACUUUAUGAAUAAGGAUCGGCUAACUCCGUGCCAGCAGCCGCGGUAAUACGGAGGAUCCGAGCGUUAUCCGGAUUUAUUGGGUUUAAAGGGAGCGUAGAUGGAUGUUUAAGUCAGUUGUGAAAGUUUGCGGCUCAACCGUAAAAUUGCAGUUGAUACUGGAUAUCUUGAGUGCAGUUGAGGCAGGCGGAAUUCGUGGUGUAGCGGUGAAAUGCUUAGAUAUCACGAAGAACUCCGAUUGCGAAGGCAGCCUGCUAAGCUGCAACUGACAUUGAGGCUCGAAAGUGUGGGUAUCAAACAGGAUUAGAUACCCUGGUAGUCCACGCAGUAAACGAU